Molecule: long non-coding RNA, 487 nt
Filed under: Dermacentor andersoni
Lineage: Eukaryota; Metazoa; Arthropoda; Arachnida; Ixodida; Ixodidae
Description: uncharacterized LOC126546256
Source: RNAcentral
CUCGGGACUAAGCUGUGGGCGCGGUGCCAACGUUGGAAUGAAAGCAGCAACCGCCCGGCGGCCUUGCGGCGCAGGUUGGGGCGCCGUGGGAUUUUCCUGGCGCAAGGAGCUUCCCAGCGGAGGCGCCUUGGUGGCUGGGGCGGUCUGCUUGCGUGAGGCAAACCCACAUGAGGGGGAGCUCCCUACCAUCUACGGGGACGUCGGCCAUAGGGAGCAUGGCAGAUCAGCGAGAAGCACCACCGGCCGAACAGACGAGUGCAACCGAGAAGGCCACAUGAGCCGAGACUGUCCCACUGCUCACUGUGGAGGACGACGAGGAUGCCUCAGGUGUGGCGAGGAAGGCCACAUGAGCAGAGACUGAUUGCAGACACGUGGGCGCGACACCCCCAGAUGUGGGUCGCUACGCUUCGCGUGCGGCCAGAUUACGUGUUUUGUGUGUAUUUUGUCGUUUAUUAGAUCGUUACAUAUAAAGAAAUUCAAAAAUUUC